Molecule: small RNA, 213 nt
Filed under: Staphylococcus aureus
Lineage: Bacteria; Bacillati; Bacillota; Bacilli; Caryophanales; Staphylococcaceae
Description: HMPRFS0000_0916
Source: RNAcentral
GCUUACUCAAUUUAGUUUUAAUAGUCGUUCUUUUUGACCCAGACGUUUUGAUAUAGUUCUGAAACCACUCAUCACUUGCAGCAUGAAAAGUUAGUGACUUAAGUGUAGUAGGUGUCUUAUCAUUCAGUUUUGCUUCUAUACGCUCAUUUAAGAGCCUUUGAGCUUCUUUUUGUGAUUGCUUACCAUUCUUAUUAAGAACCACACUAACACGUC